Ricinus communis (castor bean) is the source of this 2978-nucleotide long non-coding RNA. RefSeq lists it as uncharacterized. Lineage: Eukaryota; Viridiplantae; Streptophyta; Magnoliopsida; Malpighiales; Euphorbiaceae. The transcript is spliced from 6 exons. The record is from RefSeq and is a predicted model, not a curated record.
UUCACUAAAGAAAACUUCUCUCCUUUUUUUAUUAAAUGUUUUUCUACCCUUUCAAUUGCGUUGUCAUUAAUCUUUGAACUGUUUUGUCUUUUAAUCUUUCAGUGACAGUGCUUAUCCCAUUGCUUUUCUUAAAUUAUUACUAAAAUCCUUGUUGUUUUUGAAUUAAUUUUUUCCGAAAUAAAUAGAUAGAUUUAACUGGGAAGGAUUGCUAAAGUGGAGCUUUGCUCAGUCCUCUUGUCUUCAUAAUCAGAAUACUCCUCUACCUCUACGGUAAAAAAAUGAUCAUUAGAUCCCACGAGGCAAAAGAGUCUGAGGGUAAGAGCGAUUUGUACCAAUCUGAGAGAGAUUGUGGAGUGGCGAAAGGAUAAUUAUUUUUGGAAAUGGACAUGGGGGGACUUUGAGGAAUCAACAACAAUUUAAUGGGAGACAGAUAAAUGGGAUUUUAGAAAACUGAAGUUUGACAGAGGAGAAGAAGGAGAACAAGAAAAAAAAAAUAUAAAGAACAAUAAAAAAGAAAUCAUGAAAACUAAAAGGGUUAUUACGGGUGUGUGAAUAAUGGUUGUUUCUGACAUAUUAGUUAAUAAUUGAUACUAUUUCUAUCCUUGCUGACUCCGGGCAGACUGCCUCAUCAUGCAAUCUUAAGUAAUUUUCGAAUUGGCAUCAAAGUCAACCCUUGCAGUUUUGACUGAUACAAGUCAUCUAUUAUCAGAUGUUGCAGCAUUUGCAAUCUCAUUAAUUUCACUCUGGGUGUUAGGAUGGGAGGCAACUCCAUGUCAGUCUUAUAGGUUUUUCAGGAUUAAGAUACUUGGCGCACUAAUUUCCAUUCAAAUGAUAUGGCUUCUUGCUGGGAUCCUAGUCUAUGAAGCCAUUGCUAGACUUAUCAAUGAAACAGGAUCUUGAUCUUAGAAAGCCAAGAGUGUGCAAACCUCCUAAAAAGAUAUGAAUUUGAAGUAACAAGAAAGGAAGUUCUGAGAAAAGCUGAUUUCUAGAUAUGAGAAUCAGCUCAAUAGGUUCUAUGAGUUCGUGGAUCUAAUUCUAGAUUCACCACCUUCAUAGUCUUUGCAAAGGGUUUCAUCUUUUAAUGUUAGCUUCAAGGUCAAGAUGUAUAAAUCAGCUUUUUGGGCUCGUCUUUUGUGCUAUGCUUUCACCUUGGGUCAAAAAGAGAUAGUGGACUUCAUGGACCUUUUAUUGUUCCGGCAUCAAAAGUUUUGAAUAAAUUAUUUGAGAUAGAAUUUUGAAGGCAACUCUUGGAACAGAUGUUGUACUUGGCUCGAUAGUAAGACUCCAUCACUUCAUGGAUGUAUUUUAAUUUUUAAUAUAAUUCUAUUAAAUAGAAGUCCUACAAGAAGCACACCUAUGGAUAUACUAAGAGCUAUGGUCAACAUCCAUACAUAGGAAGUGGAUAUGUUCUGCUACAUCAUGUCAUGGGAGAAACUGAUGGGAAUGUGGAAUUUGAUCGUAUCCAUCCCAUUGCUAGCUUGAUGUAUGAAUUGUGCAUCAAAGAAAUUACAAUCUGUAAAUUUUGUAAGAUCCCUUUCCUUUUAUGCUACACAAUCUAAUAUUGACCUGUUAUUUUUCCCUUUGAAAGAAAUUGGAGUAGUUAAUGUAAGAUUGAUAAUUCUUAUGUAAUUUUGGGCUAAAAAACUAAUCAAAUACAAUUGUAAAGUAGUUUUUACUCACAACAUAAAAUUCUAGAAAAUAAGAAGGGUUCCAUGUGCUCUAUUAUUUUAACUGGUAAACUUUAUCCAAGCUUUUGCAAUCUAAGAUUGAGGGUGCCCCCAGUUCCACCUUUAUUUUCACCUUUGUUGCAAAAGGUUAAUAUAUAGCUCACAUGUAUCCUUUAGGACAUUCUUGCUUCCAAUUAGUUAUUUUAGUAAUAUUCAUUUGUUGUUGCUAAUUGCACCCAUAGUUGUUCCUCUAAAAUUCAUUGGUCACUUGCAUAUUAGUUUAUAAGGUCUUUCUUUCAUAGCCAUGAUGGUUUAGAAUUUAUAAUUAUUGCAGGUGUGUUAAAGUGGGAUAGGCAUAGUAUCCUUAUCUAUACCUGGUUAGUUAAUAUAAUCUAUUUUUCUUUUCCCUUUUUUUCUUUUUCUUUCCCCCUUUUCUCAUUUUAUUUUUUUCAGCCAUAAUAAAAUUAAUAGUAGAAACCGACUAAGUGGCAAUGUAAGGACACCCAUUCACUUUUGUACCCCUAACCCAACUUCAGCUAAUCUUAUUGUUAUUCUACAUGUUUACCAUUCUUGUUUUCAAUGGUAAACUUUUAUAUGUUCGUUGAUAUGGUUGCACUAAAAGUAAGUAACGUCAAAUCACAUUUUGGCCCCUGGUCGAUGUUGAAUCUUAAGAGUUAUUAAUCUUAUUUUGAUGGUUACAAACAAUUAAGAAUGACUAAUUUUAUGUUUAAGUGUUUGUGUAAGGAAGGAAAAUUGGUUCUUCUAAAUCAGGGCAGAUUCACGCCCAUGAAACAUCAGUUCCCAGCUAUGAAGAAUUCUUGCCUCAAACAGUAAAAAGGACAGUAGCCUUCACGGCAUCCUUCCCAGUUGUGGAAACAAGGAUUCACGGCCGUGAAGAAAUGUUCACGCCCAUGAAAAUUGCCUUCCUUCCAAAACUUGAAGAAAUUACAAAAGAUGUCAUGGCCAACAUUCCCAGCCUUGAAGAUGGAAAUUCACGGCUGUUUUCAAAUCCUCCCAGCCGUUAAGAAAAAGUUCAUGCUCGUGAAGAAUUGCAACUCUUUAAAACUUCAAGAAAUCAUAGUAGAGUUCACGGAUAAAGUUUCCAACCGUGAAACCUGCAUUCCCAUGAAACCUGAGUUCCCAGCCGUGAAGAAUUGUUCAUUGCCAUGAUGAGUUCCAGUUUUUCGAAUCUAUUUUUCAUGUUGAUGCUUCACGGCCGUGAAGAAUUCUUCCCACCCGUGAAGCUGCAUUUAUGAAGAUUGUUGAAACAAUUAUGUUUGCAUUUAAUGUGGGUGCAAUGUCUCUAUUUCA